UGGGGAAUAUUGCACAAUGGAGGAAACUCUGAUGCAGCGACGCCGCGUGAGCGAUGAAGGCUUUCGAGUCGUAAAGCUCUGUCCUAUGGGAAGAUAAUGACGGUACCAUAGGAGGAAGCCCCGGCUAACUACGUGCCAGCAGCCGCGGUAAUACGUAGGGGGCGAGCGUUGUCCGGAAUCACUGGGCGUAAAGGGUUCGCAGGCGGUCUACCAAGUCCGAUGUGAAAGGCAUGGGCUCAACCCAUGUAAGCAUUGGAAACUGGUAGACUUGAGUUAAGGAGAGGUAAGUGGAAUUCCUAGUGUAGCGGUGAAAUGCGUAGAUAUUAGGAAGAAUACCGGUGGCGAAGGCGACUUACUGGACUUAAACUGACGAUGAGGAACGAAAGCGUGGGGAGCAAACAGG
RNAcentral lists this ribosomal RNA (403 nucleotides) under Bacteroidota bacterium. RNAcentral's name for it is "Bacteroidetes bacterium partial 16S ribosomal RNA". It matches the Rfam family "Bacterial small subunit ribosomal RNA", at positions 355 to 776 of the family's 1533-position model. Lineage: Bacteria; Pseudomonadati; Bacteroidota. The record is from RNAcentral.